This 488-nucleotide ribosomal RNA is filed under the name uncultured bacterium. Its description in RNAcentral is "partial 16S ribosomal RNA". It matches the Rfam family "Bacterial small subunit ribosomal RNA", at positions 28 to 507 of the family's 1533-position model. The record is from RNAcentral.
GACGAACGCUGGCGGCGUGCUUAACACAUGCAAGUCGAACGCGCCUGUCCUCUGGGUUUCUGGGGGGUGGGUGAGUGGCGAACGGGUGAGUAACACGUGAGUAACCUGCCCCCUUCUUCGGGAUAACGGUCUGAAAGGGCUGCUAAUACCGGGUAUUCACUGGUCUCCGCAUGGGGUCUGGUGGAAAGGUUUUUUUCUGGUGGGGGAUGGGCUCGCGGCCUAUCAGCUUGUUGGUGGGGUGAUGGCCCACCAAGGCUUUGACGGGUAGCCGGCCUGAGAGGGUGACCGGUCACAGUGGGACUGAGAUACGGCCCAGACUCCUACGGGAGGCAGCAGUGGGGAAUAUUGCACAAUGGGCGAAAGCCUGAUGCAGCGACGCCGCGUGAGGGAUGGAGGCCUUCGGGUUGUGAACCUCUUUCGCCUGUGGUCAAGCCGCGACGUGGGUCGUGGUGAGGGUAGUGGGUAAAGAAGCGCCGGCUAACUACGUG